Molecule: ribosomal RNA, 254 nt
Filed under: uncultured bacterium
Lineage: Bacteria
Description: partial 16S ribosomal RNA
Rfam family: Bacterial small subunit ribosomal RNA
Source: RNAcentral
UACGAAGGGGGCUAGCGUUGUUCGGAAUUACUGGGCGUAAAGCGCACGCAGGCGGAUUGAUAAGUCAGGGGUGAAAUCCCGGGGCUCAACCUCGGAAUUGCCUUUGAUACUGUCUAUCUUCGAGUUCGGGAGAGGUUGGCGGAAUUCCUAGUGUAGAGGUGAAAUUCGUAGAUAUUAGGAAGAACACCAGUGGCGAAGGCGGCCAACUGGCCCGAUACUGACGCUCAUGUGCGAAAGCGUGGGGAGCAAACAGG